RNAcentral lists this ribosomal RNA (1208 nucleotides) under Nematoda environmental sample. RNAcentral describes it as "SSU rRNA". It matches the Rfam family "Eukaryotic small subunit ribosomal RNA", at positions 91 to 1300 of the family's 1831-position model. Lineage: Eukaryota; Metazoa; Nematoda. The record is from RNAcentral.
GAACGGCUCAUUACACCAGCUGUAAUUUACUUGACCUUGACAAACCUACUUGGAUAACUGUGGUAAUUCUAGAGCUAAUACAUGCACCAAAACUCCGAUCGCAAGAGAGGAGUGCAUUUGUUCGCCACAAAACCAGCGCCCUCGGGCGUCACAUUGCUGACCCAGAACAACUCAGCUGAUCGCACGGUCUUGCACCGGCGACGUGUCUUUCAAGUGUCUGCCUUAUCAACUUUCGAUGGUAGUGUACCUGACUACCAUGGUUGUGACGGGUAACGGAGGAUAAGGGUUCGACUCCGGAGAAGGGGCCUGAGAAAUGGCCACUACGUCUAAGGAUGGCAGCAGGCGCGCAAAUUACCCACUCUCGACUCGAGGAGGUAGUGACGAGAAAUAACAAGACCGUUCUCACAUGAGGCCGGUCAUUGGAAUGGGUACAAUUUAAACCCUUUAACGAGUAUCUAUGAGAGGGCAAGUCUGGUGCCAGCAGCCGCGGUAAUUCCAGCUCUCAAAAUGCAUAGAAUUAUUGCUGCGGUUAAAAAGCUCGUAGUUGGAUCUGUGCUGGCCGCCCGGUCUGCCCAUUGGGUAUGCACUGGCGCGGUCGGCUUUUGCUGCCGGUUUACGCCCGGCGUUGGCCUUCAUCGGUCGGCGUCGGUGGGCCGGCGAGUUUACUUUGAACAAAUCAGAGUGCUUAAAACAGGCGUUUCGCCUGAAUGUUCGUGCAUGGAAUAAUAGAAGAGGAUCACGGUCCGAUUUUAUUGGUUUUGCUGACCGAGAUAAUGGUUAACAGAGACAAACGGGGCCAUUCGUAUUGCUGCGUGAGAGGUGAAAUUCUUGGACCGUAGCAAGACGGACUACAGCGAAAGCAUUUGGCAAGAAUGUCUUCAUUAAUCAAGAACGAAAGUCAGAGGUUCGAAGGCGAUCAGAUACCGCCCUAGUUCUGACCGUAAACGAUGCCAACUAGCGAUCCGCCGGCGGAUUCAUUCGCCCUGGUGGGGAGCUUCCCGGAAACGAAAGUCUUCCGGUUCCGGGGGAAGUAUGGUUGCAAAGCUGAAACUUAAAGGAAUUGACGGAAGGGCACCACCAGGAGUGGAGCCUGCGGCUUAAUUUGACUCAACACGGGGAAACUCACCCGGCCCGGACACCGUGAGGAUUGACAGAUUGAUAGCUUUUUCAUGAUUCGGUGGAUGGUGGUGCAUGGCCGUUCUUAGUUA